GAUAGUAUAACCAUACAAUAACUAGUAUGAUAAGACUCAUUAAGAGACACAGUUUCAUUACCGUUGCAUUUGAAGCAAUAACAACAUUUGCAAUCCUUUCGAAGAUCUCUGUGGAAUGCAUGGGAGACGAUGGUGAUGGUUGACUGAAAGAAAACGUUUCGCAGCAGAGUUUGAAUUUAUUAAUAUUCAUUUUCACUACACCAUUCAAGGAUAAUAAUAAAUGAAAAACUACUCAACGUAUAACAUACAUGUUGCACGUGCACUUCACUAGUCUCCAGUUGGGUGACCAAGGCAAUUCCCAAACAUCUUCAGCUGUCGGAGAAGAGGACUCUUCUUCAACGUGUUCAAUAUAUCAACCAUCCCAUCAUCUGUGAUCUUGUUGUACGAGAUGUCCAGCGAUAAGAGCUUUGAAAACGGAAGAGAAAAGCUUAGCUCCCUGAAAGCAAUCGCUGUUUGGUCACUUCCUAUCUUAAUUUCAGGGUGAGAUAUUGAAGAAAAUAAAUCUGGGUAGGUUUCAAUUGUUUUGAAACAAACUUUGAUUUUCAUAGAAAUGUUCAGACAAUAUGUGGCA
Molecule: long non-coding RNA, 571 nt
Organism: Hylaeus volcanicus
Lineage: Eukaryota; Metazoa; Arthropoda; Insecta; Hymenoptera; Colletidae
Exons: 3
Source: RefSeq, a predicted model, not a curated record